AGGGGAUUCUGGGAUCCCACAACUGCUGUGGGUAAGACCAAUCAGUGGAGGGGUUUGGGGUCCCCACAGAUGCUGCGGGCACAAGUGGUGAACACGAGGGGAUUUGGAGGGUCCCUGCAGGGAUUGAGGGGUCCCUGAAGGUUUUUGGUGUCCCUGCAGACACUGUGGGUGUGGGUGCUGAACGGGGCCCUGGGCGCCCUGGCCCUGUUCCACCUGUCCUACCUGGGCGCCCUGUUCGAUGUGGAGGCCGAGGAUGCUGUGGAGGAGCAGGGCUACGGAAUGGCCUACACAGUGCGCAAGUGGUCAGAGCUGAACUGGGCCAGUCACUGGGUGACGCUGGGUUGCUGGGUGCUGGCCCGACUGCUGCGCUGAGGCUCGGGGAGGGCAUCAGAGAGUACGGCCACUCCGCACCACCGGGAGCGCCUCUCACCGCUCUCUUGCCGACAUUUCUCUGGCGGAAGUGACGCCGCGCGGCCGCUCUGGGACCAAUAAAGCGUCGCCUCGA
Cyanistes caeruleus (blue tit) is the source of this 505-nucleotide non-coding RNA. The record is from RefSeq and is a predicted model, not a curated record. NCBI's taxonomy places the organism in Eukaryota, Metazoa, Chordata, Aves, Passeriformes, Paridae.